AGCGAACGCUGGCGGCAGGCCUAACACAUGCAAGUCGAACGAACUCUUCGGAGUUAGUGGCAGACGGGUGAGUAACACGUGGGAACGUGCCUUUUGGUUCGGAAUAACUCAGGGAAACUUGUGCUAAUACCGAAUGUGCCCUUCGGGGGAAAGAUUUAUCGCCAUUAGAGCGGCCCGCGUCUGAUUAGCUAGUUGGUGAGGUAACGGCUCACCAAGGCGACGAUCAGUAGCUGGUCUGAGGGGAUGACCAGCCACACUGGGACUGAGACACGGCCCAGACUCCUACGGGAGGCAGCAGUGGGGAAUCUUGCGCAAUGGGCGAAAGCCUGACGCAGCCAUGCCGCGUGAAUGAUGAAGGUCUUAGGAUUGUAAAAUUCUUUCACCGGGGACGAUAAUGACGGUACCCGGAGAAGAAGCCCCGGCUAACUUCGUG
This 433-nucleotide ribosomal RNA is filed under the name uncultured bacterium. RNAcentral's name for it is "partial 16S ribosomal RNA". It matches the Rfam family "Bacterial small subunit ribosomal RNA", at positions 29 to 507 of the family's 1533-position model. The record is from RNAcentral.